RNAcentral lists this ribosomal RNA (465 nucleotides) under uncultured bacterium. RNAcentral describes it as "partial 16S ribosomal RNA". It matches the Rfam family "Bacterial small subunit ribosomal RNA", at positions 28 to 507 of the family's 1533-position model. The record is from RNAcentral.
GACGAACGCUGGCGGCGUGCUUAACACAUGCAAGUCGAACGGAAAGGCCCUGCUUGCCGGGUACUCGAGUGGCGAACGGGUGAGUAACACGUGGGUGAUCUGCCCUGCACUUCGGGAUAAGCCUGGGAAACUGGGUCUAAUACCGGAUAUGACCUUCCAUGUAGUGUGGGGGGUGGAAAGAUUUAUCGGUGUGGGAUGAGCCCGCGGCCUAUCAGCUUGUUGGUGGGGUAAUGGCCUACCAAGGCGUCGACGGGUAGCCGGCCUGAGAGGGUGGACGGCCACAUUGGGACUGAGAUACGGCCCAGACUCCUACGGGAGGCAGCAGUGGGGAAUAUUGCACAAUGGGCGGAAGCCUGAUGCAGCGACGCCGCGUGGGGGAUGACGGCCUUCGGGUUGUAAACCUCUUUCGACAGGGACGAAGCUUCGGUGACGGUACCUGUAUAAGAAGCACCGGCUAACUACGUG